GUGGGGAAUCUUGCGCAAUGGGCGAAAGCCUGACGCAGCCAUGCCGCGUGAAUGAUGAAGGUCUUAGGAUUGUAAAAUUCUUUCACCGGGGACGAUAAUGACGGUACCCGGAGAAGAAGCCCCGGCUAACUUCGUGCCAGCAGCCGCGGUAAUACGAAGGGGGCUAGCGUUGCUCGGAAUUACUGGGCGUAAAGGGAGCGUAGGCGGACAUUUAAGUCAGGGGUGAAAUCCCGGGGCUCAACCUCGGAAUUGCCUUUGAUACUGGGUGUCUUGAGUGUGAGAGAGGUAUGUGGAACUCCGAGUGUAGAGGUGAAAUUCGUAGAUAUUCGGAAGAACACCAGUGGCGAAGGCGACAUACUGGCUCAUUACUGACGCUGAGGCUCGAAAGCGUGGGGAGCAAACAGGAUUAGAUACCCCGGUAGUCC
This 425-nucleotide ribosomal RNA is filed under the name uncultured bacterium. RNAcentral's name for it is "partial 16S ribosomal RNA". It matches the Rfam family "Bacterial small subunit ribosomal RNA", at positions 354 to 796 of the family's 1533-position model. The record is from RNAcentral.